AUGCUGCGCGAGGCCAGGCGCGCCGUGGUGCGGCUGCGCGCGCUGCAGCAGCGGAAGGAGGCCGCACACGUCGUCAAGCUCGGGAGGCGGUUCAAGGUGCUCGACGGCCUCAUCCAAAGGGCGUCGCAGGUCGUGUACCCUUCUGGCGAAGGUAGCAGCGGCAGUGGUGUGGAGAUGGAGGAGGUCGUGGAGGAGAUGAACGCUAGGCGUAACGACGUCACGGCGGUGGCUGCCGCAGUCGGGGAGAUAGAGCGCGCAAACAGGGGUGUCGGCUUCGGCUUGAACACCAAGGUCGUCUCGUCUCUGCUUCGCAAUGGUUCUACAGUGACAAUCCUCGCGUUCGUCAGCAGAUGA
This 354-nucleotide ribosomal RNA is filed under the name Triticum aestivum (bread wheat). RNAcentral's name for it is "partial small subunit ribosomal RNA". Lineage: Eukaryota; Viridiplantae; Streptophyta; Magnoliopsida; Poales; Poaceae. The record is from RNAcentral.